Molecule: long non-coding RNA, 839 nt
Organism: Xiphophorus couchianus (Monterrey platyfish)
Lineage: Eukaryota; Metazoa; Chordata; Actinopteri; Cyprinodontiformes; Poeciliidae
Exons: 3
Source: RefSeq, a predicted model, not a curated record
UCUUAAAUCAAAGGCCAUUUGUUGAAGAAAAAUGAUUAUUUUUUGUGCUUAAUACAGUUAAUCAUGCGGCAUAGGUAAAUGUUAUAUUCAAUACUCUUAUUUGAAACAGGUUUUGUGUGACCUUUCGGGAUGGGCCCGAAUGAGACAAGCAGGCGCUUUCCGCUGUCUGGCUAGAUCACACAAGAGUCAUAAAAUUAGCAUUCCGAUGGGGCAGAAGUGUUGGAGUUUGGGGGAAGAGACUUCAGAGGUAUCUGCGAAAUCUCAUCUCAGGACCUCUCUGAGCCCGGGAUCGCCCGUACCUGGCACGGCCCAAGGAUAAGCAGUCCGCCCUUUUGUCUCGACAGAAACCAGACGCCCUUCGAGCUUUGUUGUAAAUUAGAGACUUCUUAUGUUUCUCUGAGUCAUUACGGGAGUUUCUAAUUGGUCGAAGAACGGAACGCCUUGGUUGAAUAUAUUAAAUAAAAGGAAACACCCACUCAGUAUAAAAUUUCGUGUCAGCGCUAAAAAUGCAGAGAGCUUUCACUAUUUUUUGGCUCUUUCCAAAGACGCGUCUUUGCCUUUUUUGUCUGUCUUUGUCUUCGUUCUGUUGAUCUGUCUUCUCUGUCUUUGUCUGUAUGGGGAAAUCAAUGCAUAUCUCUGUACCUCUGCAGCUUUGUUAAUUGAUUCAUGCGUCGCUUUGUAUGGAAUUAAACUCUGUGAUCUGUGACGUCAACGUGAUUCGUUGUUUGUUUCACUACAGCUGCAGCGCCGCCCGCUGAGAGGACCCGGGAAUUAAGGAAGAAGGAGCCAAACGUUUUGUCCAAAGUUAAUAUUAAAUUAUUCUUCCUUAACAUUAGUCA